RNAcentral lists this ribosomal RNA (549 nucleotides) under Yamadazyma tammaniensis. RNAcentral's name for it is "eukaryotic LSU rRNA". It matches the Rfam family "Eukaryotic large subunit ribosomal RNA", at positions 62 to 648 of the family's 3401-position model. Lineage: Eukaryota; Fungi; Ascomycota; Pichiomycetes; Serinales; Debaryomycetaceae. The record is from RNAcentral.
AAACCAACAGGGAUUGCCUUAGUAGCGGCGAGUGAAGCGGCAAUAGCUCAAAUUUGAAAUCUGGCGCCUUCGGUGUCCGAGUUGUAAUUUGAAGAAGGUAUCUUUGGUUUUGGCUCUUGUCUAUGUUCCUUGGAACAGGACGUCACAGAGGGUGAGAAUCCCGUGCGAUGAGAUGCCCAAUUCCAUGUAAAGUUCCUUCGACGAGUCGAGUUGUUUGGGAAUGCAGCUCUAAGUGGGUGGUAAAUUCCAUCUAAAGCUAAAUAUUGGCGAGAGACCGAUAGCGAACAAGUACUGUGAAGGAAAGAUGAAAAGAACUUUGAAAAGAGAGUGAAAAAGUACGUGAAAUUGUUGAAAGGGAAGGGCUUGAGAUCAGACUUGAUAUUUUCCCGUCUCGGGAGCUUAUCGGGCCAGCAUCAGUUUGGAUAGCAGGAUAAUUGCGUAGGAAAGUAGCUCUGCUUCGGUAGUGUGUUAUAGCCUGCGUCGAUACUGCUUGUCUAGACUGAGGACUGCGUCUUUGACUAGGAUGCUGGCAUAAUGAUCUUAAGCCGC